GAUGAACGCUGGCGGCGUGCCUAAUACAUGCAAGUCGAGCGAACGGACGAGAAGCUUGCUUCUCUGAUGUUAGCGGCGGACGGGUGAGUAACACGUGGAUAACCUACCUAUAAGACUGGGAUAACUUCGGGAAACCGUAGCUAAUACCGGAUAAUAUUUUGAACCGCAUGGUUCAAAAGUGAAAGACGGUCUUGCUGUCACUUAUAGAUGGAUCCGCGCUGCAUUAGCUAGUUGGUAAGGUAACGGCUUACCAAGGCAACGAUGCAUAGCCGACCUGAGAGGGUGAUCGGCCACACUGGAACUGAGACACGGUCCAGACUCCUACGGGAGGCAGCAGUAGGGAAUCUUCCGCAAUGGGCGAAAGCCUGACGGAGCAACGCCGCGUGAGUGAUGAAGGUCUUCGGAUCGUAAAACUCUGUUAUUAGGGAAGAACAUAUGUGUAAGUAACUGUGCACAUCUUGACGGUACCUAAUCAAAAAGCCACGGCUAACUACGU
This 496-nucleotide ribosomal RNA is filed under the name uncultured bacterium. RNAcentral's name for it is "partial 16S ribosomal RNA". It matches the Rfam family "Bacterial small subunit ribosomal RNA", at positions 28 to 506 of the family's 1533-position model. The record is from RNAcentral.